UACGGAGGGUGCAAGCAUUAAUCGGAGUUAUUGGGCGUAAAGGGCGCGUAGGCGGAUUCGUAAGUCAGAUGUGAAAUUCCGGAGCUCAACUUCGGAGCUGCAUUUGAAACUGUGAAUCUAGAGGGAUGGCGGAGAAAAUGGAAUUCCACGUGUAGCGGUGAAAUGCGUAGAUAUGUGGAAGAACACCAGUGGCGAAAGCGGUUUUCUAGCUAUUACCUGACGCUGAGGCGCGAGAGCAAGGGGAGCAAACAGG
Molecule: ribosomal RNA, 253 nt
Filed under: uncultured bacterium
Lineage: Bacteria
Description: partial 16S ribosomal RNA
Rfam family: Bacterial small subunit ribosomal RNA
Source: RNAcentral